AAAGGCUCAUUAAAUCAGUUAUGGUUUCUUAGAUCGUACCCACAUUUACUUGGAUAACUGUGGUAAUUCUAGAGCUAAUACAUGCAAACAGAGCCCCGACCGGAGACGGAAGGGGUGCUUUUAUUAGAUCAAAACCAAUCGGCGGCAGUGGCGUUUCGGCGUUGCUGUUCGUCGCACUGUUUGGUGAUUCUGAAUAACUUUUGGCUGAUCGCACGGUCUCGCACCGGCGACGCAUCUUUCAAAUGUCUGCCUUAUCAACUGUCGAUGGUAGGUUCUGCGCCUACCAUGGUUGUAACGGGUAACGGGGAAUCAGGGUUCGAUUCCGGAGAGGGAGCCUGAGAAACGGCUACCACAUCCAAGGAAGGCAGCAGGCGCGCAAAUUACCCACUCCCAGCACGGGGAGGUAGUGACGAAAAAUAACGAUAUGGGACUCAUCCGAGGCCCCAUAAUCGGAAUGAAUACACUUUAAAUCCUUUAAUGAGGAUCCAUUAGAGGGCAAGUCUGGUGCCAGCAGCCGCGGUAAUUCCAGCUCUAAUAGCGUAUAU
Molecule: ribosomal RNA, 545 nt
Filed under: Hypotyphlus pandellei
Lineage: Eukaryota; Metazoa; Arthropoda; Insecta; Coleoptera; Carabidae
Description: SSU rRNA
Rfam family: Eukaryotic small subunit ribosomal RNA
Source: RNAcentral